Molecule: non-coding RNA, 1235 nt
Organism: Ciona intestinalis (vase tunicate)
Lineage: Eukaryota; Metazoa; Chordata; Ascidiacea; Phlebobranchia; Cionidae
Source: RefSeq, a predicted model, not a curated record
UUCAAGCAACUCAGUUACACAACCCUAUAUACUUAUCUAUACACGCUGAGCCAAACAACUCGGCAGGAAAUGAAGAAAAGGACCCCCCUAAAAAAGAUUACUACUACGUUCACGUAUACUCCAAGAACAAGCUAAACGACAUCCCAGCCGAAGAUUACUAUUCUAAAAUGUCUGUCCGUCGGCGUUGCAUAGUGGUUAGCGCGCCUGCCUGUAACCCAUGCAGAGGUAAUAAUUGCUUCAACCCAGUGGUCACUAAUGAGUUAUAACGUUAACCAAAUAUCAGGCAUACAUGAAAAAAUCACCUACAAAGUAACAUACAUGGUAUAAGCUGGCGAUAUAGGUGUAUGAACACCCGUGUUAUAACGACUGUCGUUUUUAGGUCACGCAAGGAUAAAGUAAGUUACAUUCCCAUUCAUAUACACUGAUACACCUUAACUGUAACUAUAUAAAGUAAACAAUCCAAAUUCACACUAUGACAUCGUGUGCUAGUAAACAAAGAACAUUCAAAGAAGUAUAAAAUCAUACCCUUACAAUUUUCAUAGACCGUUGUUAAUUGUUUAAAAAUAAACGAUCAGGAUAUUUGAACAUUGCUGUGUGCUAAAGGUGUCCAAUGAAAUAACAUUACCUCUUCUAUAGGAGGUCCUUUUUUAUUUCCUGCCGAGUUGUUUGGCUCAGCGUGUAUAUAUAAGUAUAUAAGGUUAUGUAACUGAGUUGCUUGAAUGCGAGGAAAAUAAGUUAGCACUUAGCAACACAUUACUUCCUGUAAUAAAUUAUUGGACCGCGCGCUGUGCGAUUUUCUUGUAAGUUGACAACUUAUAUACCAAGAUCCGGGUUUCUGUAAUGGUUUGAUGAUAUUUCUGAUGAAUCUUUUAUCGCCUAGCGCUUCGUUGGUAGCUUCUGUUGUGGAAGUUGUUAAAAGAGGAUGUUCCCUUCUUACAAUACACGAGAAGUCUUUGCUUUUCUUGGAGACUUCUCCUUUGGGCUGCUCAAAUAGUUUGGAAGUAAAUGAACCUAAAUGCCUCUGAUUGGCGAAAGGAGUUAUUGUACAGAACCUUAUAAAUACGAGGCCGUAUCUUGCUUAUAAGACUUCACAAGUUAAUCAACCACUGCAAGAUGGAUCACCAUUCUACUUAUCGGACUCGUCUGCUUCGUCAAGCAAGGAGAGAGUUAUUAUAACUGGGCAAAAUACAACCAAAAAAAGCAAUGAAGAAAAAAAGCCAGAAGAGAAAGGUAAU